This 742-nucleotide long non-coding RNA is filed under the name Helianthus annuus (common sunflower). The record is from RNAcentral. Lineage: Eukaryota; Viridiplantae; Streptophyta; Magnoliopsida; Asterales; Asteraceae.
CAAAAUGAAAUACAAAAAGUUCACCGACCUAAACUGUAAAUUGACCAUACGUGAUACGUAUAGGGACUAUAUUACUACUUACAGUCAGGACUCUAUUCGAUCCAUUGACUUCUUCUGCUAUCUUCUUCUUGAGCAAUUAAACAAAGCAUGAUAACCGAUAACGAUUUGGGAUUCAUUGCCAACUUCCUUGGCAUAUUCAUAUUUGGUCUGGUAAUUGCUUAUCACUAUGUGUUGGCCGACCCGAAAUAUGAAGGGAAUUAAAGGGUAUUUUAGCAAGAUGAGUGAUGGAAUGUAGUUGUAGAGAUGUUAUGAGAUGAUCAAGAAUUAUAUAUAUGACAUAUAUGACAUUGAGACGGUGAAAUUAUGAUAUUAAAACUUUGGUAGUUUUUUUUUUCUCAAUUGGUUGAAAUUGUAUUUUUGUGUUUCUAAGAUAUAUGGUAGCAUGGUUAGGACCAGUGUUGUAAAAAUCGGAAUUAAUCGGCGCCUAGGCGCUAGUCGGGCGUUAACUGAUUAAUUUUGAGCUAGUCGGACCAUAAGUCGGUAGUCGGUCCAAGUCGGUGCAAGGCGGCCCUAGUCGGCCAAAUCGUUUCUAGUCGGCCCACUCUUUUUUAGUUUAAAUCUGGCCCAAACAAAUGUUUUUAACCAUUAAAUACAUGGACCAACCAAGUUGUUUAGUUCCAACCUGGCUCAAAAAAAACAUGUUUUAAGUCGUUAAAACAUAUUCCAUAAUGUCAUGACUAAU